AUUUUUUUAGGAUAUAUAUUAUUUAUUAUAUAAUUCCUGGAGACAGAAAUUACUGGAGGUCAGGUCAAGAGGAAUAUAUAGACUACUGUAUAUACAAAUAUAAAUGUAAAGAAAUAUAAAUGUAAAUAAUAAGUUAUUUAGUAUGUAAGUCUAUACUAUUGCUAUAUCAUGUAAUUUAGCACAGCUGCAACAAUAUAUUGAUUAAUCAUCAUCCAGGACCCAAAAUUAUCAUUCCACAUAUUAUAUGAGACAUGGCCAAAAGUAUGUAAACACCCAAACACAAUACUGGUGACCAUGAAAACCAUUUAUCUGUCCCCUUUCUGCUGUAGCUACUACUCUUCUACUAAAGGUUUUCCUUUGGAUGCUGAAACCUUGCACAGAACCAAUGCUGGAACAGAAACCGUCCCUCUAUAACUGUUGCUACAAAGCUGGAGAACGUAAAUGCAUGUCAUCACACUAGGAUUAGUGUUCACUGGAAUUAUAAGGAGCAGCCAAACCUUUAAUGUAAAUUGCACUGAAUUGCAUUGAAAAAAAAGGAACAAAACUGUUCUAACUGUAAAAGAACUCAUAUUCCUCAGUCUGUUUUGCAGUUUGGCAGUGUGUGAAAGCUUUAAUCACAGACAGUGAAUGCUGGUCCUGUUCCGUCACUGUGUGUCAAAGCAUGAAUAACUAAUUGUUCAGCGCAGUGCGUGUGGAAAAAGCCAGACAAUGUUCUCAUCCAGCUCUCCGAACACACACUCACACUGAGAGAAAGCAGUUGAAAUAAGGUCCCUAGUCAUGACUGCCAGGGAAUAUCUGCUUAAUGUUGCCAUCUGCAAACCAUCGAGAGGCAGGCGGCAUCAAACUAUGAGUGCUUGUGACGUAAAGACGAGUGAUUAUUGACCAGCUUAAAAGCUCAGAACAGUUUAAAAUGAACAUCAUCAACAUAUUAAUAGAUUUUCUAAUCUCAUGCUUGUAUCUCUGAAAGCUGUGAGCAUCGGAUGAACUGACAACAAAAGCAAACAUAUACCGCAUGAGCAGAAGACAACUAAUCUACCCAAAAACUAUGUGGACACUUAUGCUUAUAUGCCUCUGACUGUUCUGUCAAACAUCAACCUGACGGUUCCACAGAGAUCAUUUCUGAUCUUUGAAAAUGGCAGAGUGCUUCAAGUUUUAUGGGUAUACUGUCACGUCUUUGAUGUGUGAGGCUGCAGCUCAUGGUCCUUUGAAGGCAGCGGGGUGUUAGCGACCCCUGCCAUGACCCCGACCAUCUUGAGAUUAAAAAUGCCCUGAGAGCGCUAGUAAAACACAUUUGUGAGACUGCAGUGAGGGUCAGCUGGCUCCUCGCUGUGAGACUGUAAAAUCCAUCAUGAAUGGACGCAUAUCAAACUAUGCAGAAUGGACAUGUAAGACCUGAUACACGAUAAAGCAUAAUAAAUGAACAUGUACACAGCCCCAUGAUUUAUUAUGCAAAUAUACACAGCUUGUAAAUUGUAAAAGUGAGAGCAAUUGUUUUCAAUGCAUGAUUAUUAUAUUUAUUGAAAUUUAAAAACAUCUGCAAGAAACACGAAUAUAAAUAGAUAAAUAUAUGCUGUGUUGUUUCACUUCCAUCCAGGCCCAAGGGCUGCAAAAUGCAUAGUAUUUGAAAACUAAAAGCUGUAAAAGGAGGAAAAGCCACAUGUAUCGUGUUAGAACUUGCAGAGCAUUAAGAGAGAAUAAACCACAUCAAGUCUCAUAUGUCAACAGUCCACUCCUCAGAGAUGAAUGAAAGGAGGAAGCCAUAGGAACAGAGGGAAGGAGACAAUAGUUUUUAGGCACAAUGCGAACACAAUGGAUCCGAGGAACAAACUAUAAACUGAAAGAAUACAAACCUGUGGUUGAAUAUCAACAAUUUCUACAUUCUGCUUCUGGAAGGAAAAAACAAACAAACAUUUAACUCAUCAUAAAAUUUUACUCAUCACCAUUUAACAGAACUGUUUCAUUUCAUUAGUGGAGUGCUACAUGACCUGAACUAGCAAAUAUGUAGCAGCGACUCUUAUGAGCGGGACUGAGAAACACUCAUGUAUGAGCAUAAACAGCCAUUUCACUACCUUUUGAGUUAGCGCUACAGAGCAUCAUGUGGUUAGACUAGCACAUCACUAGACAUGGGAUUAAAUCAAAGCUGUAAAAGCUCACUAAUCUUCACAGAUUACACAACCUACAGCGGCCUUGUUACAACCUCAUUCAGAUCUGCUGAACUCACACAUCAGACGUGAAGCAAGCACAUUCAGAAAAAGCUACAAAGCUGUCAGUGUGGUGGUAUCAUAAGGUACAAAUGUGUACGUUAUAUACUAAUGUGGAAUUUUAAAGUACUAAUAUGUACCUUUAAGGUCCAAGUGUCAGCUUUGUACCUUUUUGUCUGAGAGUACAGGUGUAUGAAUGUGAGA
Molecule: long non-coding RNA, 2405 nt
Organism: Cyprinus carpio carpio
Lineage: Eukaryota; Metazoa; Chordata; Actinopteri; Cypriniformes; Cyprinidae
Source: Ensembl